CCUACGGGCGGCUGCAGUGGGGAAUCUUGCACAAUGGAGGAAACUCUGAUGCAGCGAUGCCGCGUGAGUGAAGAAGGCCCUUGGGUUGUAAAGCUCUUUCGUCGGGGAAGAAAAUGACUGUACCCGAAUAAGAAGGUCCGGCUAACUUCGUGCCAGCAGCCGCGGUAAUACGAAGGGACCUAGCGUAGUUCGGAAUUACUGGGCUUAAAGAGUUCGUAGGUGGUUGAAAAAGUUGGUGGUGAAAUCCCAGAGCUUAACUCUGGGAUUGCCUUGGAUACGGGAUGGCUUGAGGAUCGGAGAGGCAAGGGGAAUUCCACGUGUAGCGGUGAAAUGCGUAGAGAUGUGGAGGAACACCUGUGGCGAAGGCGCCUUGCUGGCCGAUUUCUGACGCUGAGGCGCGAAAGCGUGGGGAGCAAACAGGAUUAGAUACCCCAGUAGUC
RNAcentral lists this ribosomal RNA (440 nucleotides) under uncultured bacterium. Its description in RNAcentral is "bacterial SSU rRNA". It matches the Rfam family "Bacterial small subunit ribosomal RNA", at positions 338 to 795 of the family's 1533-position model. The record is from RNAcentral.